Long non-coding RNA from Folsomia candida, 296 nucleotides. RefSeq lists it as uncharacterized. The record is from RefSeq and is a predicted model, not a curated record. NCBI's taxonomy places the organism in Eukaryota, Metazoa, Arthropoda, Collembola, Entomobryomorpha, Isotomidae. The transcript has 3 exons.
UACUUUGUCGGUGGGAUCGAAGCAAAUUAAAAAACUGUACCAGAACCUGUUCUAAUUCUUGUGAUUGCUCUUUUCCAUUUGGUCGCCGUAUUUUAUGCCACGUUAUACAGAGCUGUUGCUAAAAGGAACUCAAAAACCUUGUAUCGCUGCUGGAUAAUUUUACUCUCUGUCAUCUCCUUUUUUACCUUGGGUCGCGUGCAUGGAGCUACCUGUAGGUUGUAACGACAAGCUCAUAUCGGUAGUCAGUGGACCCAUAUCACCAUCGCAAAAACACGUCCAAGCAAUCCUAUUUCCGG